This 790-nucleotide ribosomal RNA is filed under the name uncultured archaeon. RNAcentral's name for it is "bacterial SSU rRNA". It matches the Rfam family "Archaeal small subunit ribosomal RNA", at positions 85 to 879 of the family's 1478-position model. The record is from RNAcentral.
ACGGCUCAGUAACACGUAGUCAACAUGCCCAGGGGACGUGGAUAACCUCGGGAAACUGAGGCUAAACCGCGACAGGCCAAGAUUUCUGGAAUGGAUCAUGGCUUAAAUCUAUAUGGCCCCUGGAUUGGACUGCGGCCGAUCAGGCUGUUGGUGAGGUAAUGGCCCACCAAACCUGUAACCGGUACGGGCUCUGAGAGGAGGAGCCCGGAGAUGGGCACUUAGACAAGGGCCCAGGCCCUAUGGGGCGCAGCAGGCGCGAAACCUCUGCAAUAAGCGAAAGCUUGACAGGGUUACUCUGAGUGAUUUCCGCUAAGGAAGUCUUUUGGCACCUCUAAAAAUGGUGCAGAAUAAGGGGUGGGCAAGUCUGGUGUCAGCCGCCGCGGUAAUACCAGCACCCCGAGUGGUCGGGACGAUUAUUGGGCCUAAAGCAUCCGUAGCCGGUCCUGCGAGUCCUCCGUUAAAUCCACCCGCUCAACGGUUGGGCCGCGGGGGAUACUACAGGGCUAGGAGGCGGGAGAGGCAAGCGGUACUCGAUGGGUAGGGGUAAAAUCCACUGAUCCAUUGAAGACCACCAGUGGCGAAGGCGGCUUGCCAGAACGCGCUCGACGGUGAGGGAUGAAAGCUGGGGGGAGCAAACCGGAUUAGAUACCCGGGUAGUCCCAGCUGUAAACGAUGCAGACUCGGUGAUGGGCUGGCUUCGUGCCAACCCGGUGCCGCAGGAAGCCGUUAAGUCUGCCGCCUGGGGAGUACGGUCGCAGACUGAAACUUAAAGGAAUUGGCGGGGGAGCAC